RNAcentral lists this ribosomal RNA (498 nucleotides) under uncultured bacterium. RNAcentral's name for it is "partial 16S ribosomal RNA". It matches the Rfam family "Bacterial small subunit ribosomal RNA", at positions 28 to 508 of the family's 1533-position model. The record is from RNAcentral.
GACGAACGCUGGCGGCGUGCCUAAUACAUGCAAGUCGAACGCUGAAGCGAGGAGCUUGCUCUUCUUGGAUGAGUUGCGAACGGGUGAGUAACGCGUAGGUAACCUGCCUUGUAGUGGGGGAUAACUAUUGGAAACGAUAGCUAAUACAGCAUAACAAUGGAUGACACAUGUCAUUUAUUUGAAAGGGGCAAUUGCUCCACUACCAGAUGGACCUGCGUUGUAUUAGCUAGUAGGUGAGGUAAUGGCUCACCUAGGCGACGAUACAUAGCCGACCUGAGAGGGUGAGCGGCCACACUGGGACUGAGACACGGCCCAGACGCCUACGGGAGGCAGCAGUAGGGAAUCUGCGGCAAUGGGGGCGAGCCUGACCGAGCAACGCCGCGUGAGUGAAGAAGGGUUUCGGAUCGUAGAGCGCUGUUGUAAGUCAAGAACAGGUGUGAGAGUGGAAAGUUCACACUGUGACGGUAGCUUACCAGAAAGGGACGGCCAACUACGGUC